Pipistrellus kuhlii (Kuhl's pipistrelle) is the source of this 429-nucleotide long non-coding RNA. RefSeq lists it as uncharacterized. The transcript is spliced from 3 exons. Lineage: Eukaryota; Metazoa; Chordata; Mammalia; Chiroptera; Vespertilionidae. The record is from RefSeq and is a predicted model, not a curated record.
CCAUGGCUCACUGAGCAGGGCAGAGGCUCAGAAGCAGGUUACGUGCCUUCCUGCAGGGAUCCGGGGGGCCCAGCACAGCUGAGGUGGAAGGUGCUGAGCUGGGUCACUGCUCCAUCAGCCCCCUGGGGAGAAGCUCUGGGGGAGGCAGUUGGGAGAAGCAGGAGUGGCUCCGGGCUCCACUUCCUGAGCCAGGCGGCCGCACUGGCUGCGGGGAGACAGAAUGAGGCAAUAAAACGGGUGUCAGGGGCGAGGGGCGUGCUAAUGACUCCGUUUAACCUGUAAGAGAUGUGUGGUUCUUCAUGUUCAAGAGCUGGAAACAUGGGGUGCAGAUGGUGGGGAAAGGGCGCUUUUCCAUGAUGUGCCCCGUUCCCAGGCCACUUCCCAGUGGCCCCAGGGACUGCCCUGGGUCCCCAGGCUGAGGCACUCCUG